CUGGUUGAUCCUGCCAGACCUGACUGCUAUCGGAUUGGUACUAAGCCAUGCGAGUCAUUGUAGCAAUACAAGGCGGACGGCUCAGUAACACGUAGUCAACCUAACUCGUGGACGUGGAUAACCUCGGGAAACUGAGAAUAAACCACGAUAGAUCAUAGUGCCUGGAAUGGCUUAUGGUCCAAACAGUUUACUGCCAUGGGAUGGGACUGCGGCCUAUCAGCUUGUUGGUGAGGUAAUGGCCCACCAAGGCGAUUACAGGUACGGGCUCUGAGAGGAGAAGCCCGGAGAUGGGUACUGAGACACGGACCCAGGCCCUAUGGGGCGCAGCAGGCGAGAAACCUUAGCAAUGUGCGAAAGCACGACUGGGUCAGUCCGAGUGAUUCCUGAUAAAGGAGUCUUUUGCUUGUCCUAAAAGCACAGGUGAAUAAGGGGUGGGCAAGUCUGGUGUCAGCCGCCGCGGUAAUACCAGCACCUCGAGUGGUCAGGACGUUUAUUGGGCCUAAAGCAUCCGUAGCCGGCUUUGCAAGUCUUCGGUUAAAUCCACCUGCUCAACAGAUGGGCCGCUGGAGAUACUACAGAGCUAGGGAGUGGGAGAGGCAGACGGUAUUCAGUGGGUAGGGGUAAAAUCCUCUGAUCCAUUGAGGACCACCAGUGGCGAAUGCGGUCUGCCAGAACACGUUCGACGGUGAGGGAUGAAAGCU
RNAcentral lists this ribosomal RNA (701 nucleotides) under uncultured archaeon. RNAcentral's name for it is "bacterial SSU rRNA". It matches the Rfam family "Archaeal small subunit ribosomal RNA", at positions 4 to 712 of the family's 1478-position model. The record is from RNAcentral.